RNAcentral lists this ribosomal RNA (418 nucleotides) under uncultured bacterium. RNAcentral describes it as "bacterial SSU rRNA". It matches the Rfam family "Bacterial small subunit ribosomal RNA", at positions 98 to 511 of the family's 1533-position model. The record is from RNAcentral.
GCGUACGGGUGCGUAACACGUAAGUAAUCUACCUUUGGGUUCGGAAUAACUUCGGGAAAUCGGAGCUAAUACCGGAUAAUGCAGCGGCACCGCAUGGUGAUGUUGUUAAAGUUUGUGUAAUGCCUAAAGAUGAACUUGCGUCUGAUUAGCUAGUUGGUGAGGUAAUGGCUCACCAAGGCUGCGAUCAGUAGCUGGUCUGAGAGGAUGAUCAGCCACACUGGAACUGAGACACGGUCCAGACUCCUACGGGAGGCAGCAGUGAGGAAUAUUGGGCAAUGCCCGAAAGGGUGACCCAGCAACGCCGCGUGGAGGAUGAAGGUCGUAAGAUUGUAAACUCCUGUUAGAGGGGAAGAAUAACUAAGUUUGGAGCUUAGUAUGACUGUACCCUCAGAGAAAGCCCCGGCUAACUACGUGCCAG